Molecule: non-coding RNA, 1330 nt
Organism: Chlorocebus sabaeus (green monkey)
Lineage: Eukaryota; Metazoa; Chordata; Mammalia; Primates; Cercopithecidae
Source: RefSeq, a predicted model, not a curated record
GACCCACUCAGUGCCAGGAAUAACCCAAGUUCUCAUCAACGUGGAAAGAAACUGGCCAGCAACCUAGCUUAAAAGAUCCUCACAUACUGCAGCGAUGACUCUGUGAGCAGACCAAGGAAAGAGAAGCCGCAGGAGCUGGAGAGCAGCUGAGCUAUUCUCUCCUUAACGUGGAUGUGGUCCAAGGAAUGGAAUUCCAAAAUUGGUUACUCCAUCUAUUGACUUUAAAUGUGAUCCAGCUGCUACUAAGUUUAUGGCUCAUGAAUGAUAAACUCAAGAGGCAGCUAUAACCAGGACUUGGAACAUGCAAACAUGAAAGACACAAGAAAUCCUCAGUCCAAUUUACCAUAUUUCUUUAAAAAUAGAAAACUGAUGCCAUCUUGUGGUUAUUUUAAUAAGGUCACUCUUAAACGACUAAAAUUUUGCAAGGCUAACAAAAUCUCUUCUUCCUUUCUCCUUUAAAAUAUUGUUAAAUCUAUUUUCCCUGGACUUUAGAUGUACUUUCCUUAUAAUCUGGAGAUUUCGUUAAAAUGCUGCAUCUACCCACAUGGAAACACAAUUACUAUUAAAGUAUUAAUGAUAAGUGAUUGCUAACCAUGGAAAAUCACCAAGCAAUUUUCAUAGUUCUAGAAAAUGCAUGACCUGGCUUUCAAGAACUGAGUUCAGUGCAUGUUAAAAGGGAGGAUUUUCAUUAAAAUGGUGACAUGGACACAUGGGUUCCCCCUUCCUGGGAACUGCAGAACAGACCAAAGAAAUUGAGCAAAAAGGAGACAAGCUUACAAAAAUGCUGGAGACUGGAGGCGGUACCAUUCAUAUCUCACAAAUUUUGGAGAGUUUCUUCCAGAUAGAAUUAAGAGGAAAUCAGAUUUUUAAAAUGAUCCCAUGGACUACUCAUAAUUGCUGGGAUAAAUGGUGCAGGCAAGUCCUCUAAACAUGACUAGAUAGAUGCAUUUGUUUUAUCCACAGAUUCCCAUUAUCAUUAAAAGAAUGUAUAUAUCAGUCCUCAAAAGUAUGCUUUCUUAGCCAAAAUUACCAAUGGUAAUUUACAUAUAUGAAUACAAAAUACAUUAACAUGAAAAGAGAUACUGUUAAUAUAUUCUUCUGAAAUGAUAAAUAAAAUAACAAAAUAUAUCCAUAUGACACCUAUAGACGUAUGCAUGGCUUGUAUGUGGGAGGCGUGGAUGAGGAUAGAGAAUGACUUGGGUAUGAGACUUUUAAAAUACAGUUUGACUAAAUCAAACAGCUCAGAACCACUCCCAUGGAACACAGAAACUGAACAGACCUUUCACUAUCCCAAAAUAUUACUGAACUGCUCCCUACCCUGAGUCUCCCA